Molecule: ribosomal RNA, 254 nt
Filed under: Blautia wexlerae
Lineage: Bacteria; Bacillati; Bacillota; Clostridia; Lachnospirales; Lachnospiraceae
Description: partial 16S ribosomal RNA
Rfam family: Bacterial small subunit ribosomal RNA
Source: RNAcentral
CAACAACGAAGAGUUUGAUCCUGGCUCAGGAUGAACGCUAGCGACAGGCUUAACACAUGCAAGUCGAGGGGCAGCAUUUUAGUUUGCUUGCAAACUAAAGAUGGCGACCGGCGCACGGGUGAGUAACACGUAUCCAACCUGCCGAUAACUCGGGGAUAGCCUUUCGAAAGAAAGAUUAAUACCGGAUAGUAUAACGAGAAGGCAUCUUUUUGUUAUUAAAGAAUUUCGAUAACCGAUGGGAUGCGUUCCAUUAG